ACCAGGUGUGGCCUAAUGGUUAGCGCAUUGGACUUGUAAUCCAAAGGUUGUGGGUUUGAGUCUCAGGUCUGGUA
Pangasius djambal is the source of this 74-nucleotide non-coding RNA. NCBI's taxonomy places the organism in Eukaryota, Metazoa, Chordata, Actinopteri, Siluriformes, Pangasiidae. The record is from the annotation of a GenBank genome assembly.